Molecule: ribosomal RNA, 346 nt
Filed under: uncultured eukaryote
Lineage: Eukaryota
Description: SSU rRNA
Rfam family: Eukaryotic small subunit ribosomal RNA
Source: RNAcentral
GUAGCGUAUAUUAAAGUUGUUGCAGUUAAAACGCUCGUAGUCGAACUUCGGGCCUGGCGGGAUGGUCCGCCUUACGGUGUGCACUGUCUGGCCGGGCCUUACCUCCUGGUGAGGCCUCAUGUCCUUUACUGGGUGUGGGGUGGAACCAGGAAUUUUACCUUGAGAAAAUUAGAGUGUUCAAAGCAGGCAAACGCCCGAAUACAUUAGCAUGGAAUAAUAGAAUAGGACGUGCGGUUCUAUUUUGUUGGUUUCUAGAGUCGCCGUAAUGAUUAAUAGGGACGGUCGGGGGCAUUAGUAUUCCGUUGCUAGAGGUGAAAUUCUUAGAUUGACGGAAGACUAACAACUG